This 71-nucleotide transfer RNA is filed under the name Trichonephila inaurata madagascariensis. It matches the Rfam family "tRNA". From Rfam's summary of the family: Transfer RNA (tRNA) molecules are approximately 80 nucleotides in length. Their secondary structure includes four short double-helical elements and three loops (D, anti-codon, and T loops). Further hydrogen bonds mediate the characteristic L-shaped molecular structure. tRNAs have two regions of fundamental functional importance: the anti-codon, which is responsible for specific mRNA codon recognition, and the 3' end, to which the tRNAs corresponding amino acid is attached (by aminoacyl-tRNA synthetases). tRNAs cope with the degeneracy of the genetic code in two manners: having more than one tRNA (with a specific anti-codon) for a particular amino acid; and 'wobble' base-pairing, i.e. permitting non-standard base-pairing at the 3rd anti-codon position. The record is from Rfam by way of RNAcentral. Lineage: Eukaryota; Metazoa; Arthropoda; Arachnida; Araneae; Nephilidae.
GGGGGUAUAGCUCAGUGUUAAAGCAUUCGACUGCAGAUCGAGAGGUCCCCGUUCAUACCCGGGUGUCCUCU